Molecule: unclassified non-coding RNA, 642 nt
Filed under: Volvariella taylorii
Lineage: Eukaryota; Fungi; Basidiomycota; Agaricomycetes; Agaricales; Pluteaceae
Description: sequence contains 18S rRNA gene, ITS1, 5.8S rRNA gene, ITS2, 28S rRNA gene
Source: RNAcentral
GCGUAAACAAAAUCUUCUCGUGCAUUUGAGGUCAAGUGUUCAAAAGGUGGAUGUUGCGGAGCAGGUCAAAAGCCCGGAGGGGGUUCGGGGCGUAAACGACUAUCAACGCCACGAGGACCCGAGGGGGGAGGGCCUACUGAUGCAUUUGAGGAGAGCGGAAAGCCUGAGCAGACCGCAGCACUCCCAAAGUCCAAGCUCCCCGCAACGGCAAGGUUGAGGGGGCUUGAGGAUUCAAUGACACUCAAACAGGCAUGUUCUUUGGAAUGGCCAAAAAGCGCAAGGGGCGUUCAAAAAUUCAAUGAUUCACUGAAUUCUGCAAUUCACAUUACUUAUCGCAUUUCGCUGCGUUCUUCAUCGAUGCGAGAGCCAAAAAAUCCGUUGUUGAAAGUUGUAUUUGUAUAUGUUUUUGUGUUAUACACGGCAUACAUGCGAUCGGGGGGUGUACAAAAAAAUCGUAGGCCCCGGGGUCGACGGCCUACAUGGAGUGCACAAGGGAGGGUAAGCGAAUUGAAGUCGCGCCCGGGGGCGUGCACGUGCUCCCAGAAGCCAGCAUCACCCCCCCGGGGCGCUUUGUUUCAAAUUCUUUAAUGAUCCUUCCCCAGGUUCACCUCCGGAAACCUUGUUACAACAUUUACUUCCAAA